UCCUAGCCUUAUUAUCAGCUUUUUCUAAACUUACACAUGCAAGUCUCAGCAGACCCGUGAGGACGCCCUUCCAUCUACAAGCAUAAGGAGCCGGUAUCAGGCACUGCCCAUUACACCUAGUCUCACCACACCCCCAAGGGCUACAGCAGUGAUAAACAUUGUCUAUAAGCGACAGCUUGACCCAGUUAUAGAAAAAAGAGCUGGCUAACUCGGUGCCAGCCGCCGCGGCUGAGCUCAAGUUGAUAAACAUCGGUAAGCGUGAUUAAAGACUACCCCAAAUUAGAGUAAAACUAACACUUAGCUGUAACAAGACGAAAGUUACUCUAAUAUUGAACUCACGACAGUUAAGAAACAAACUGGGAUUAGAUACCCCACUAUG
This 379-nucleotide ribosomal RNA is filed under the name Limnonectes macrocephalus (Luzon fanged frog). RNAcentral's name for it is "partial 12S ribosomal RNA". The record is from RNAcentral. Lineage: Eukaryota; Metazoa; Chordata; Amphibia; Anura; Dicroglossidae.